This 179-nucleotide small RNA is filed under the name Chelonoidis abingdonii (Abingdon island giant tortoise). Its description in RNAcentral is "TUC338 (ENSCABG00000014502.1)". Lineage: Eukaryota; Metazoa; Chordata; Testudines; Testudinidae. The record is from RNAcentral.
UUGAGAAACCCUGCUCUAGAGAAUAAAGUUCUCCAUUUAGCCUCAGUUCAGAUACAACAUAGGCAGUGGCAGUGCAAGCUUCCGCCACACUGCCCUUUAACUGUCUCAGCCCUGACAUGGGGAGACCACCUGUGGGUGUGGGUGUCUCUUCAUCCUGUUCCAUUUACUCCUUGACCUUA